GAAUUCACUAGUGAUUCAGGCCUAACACAUGCAAGUCGAGCGGUAGAGAGAAGCUUGCUUCUCUUGAGAGCGGCGGACGGGUGAGUAAUGCCUAGGAAUCUGCCUGGUAGUGGGGGAUAACGUUCGGAAACGGACGCUAAUACCGCAUACGUCCUACGGGAGAAAGCAGGGGACCUUCGGGCCUUGCGCUAUCAGAUGAGCCUAGGUCGGAUUAGCUAGUUGGUGAGGUAAUGGCUCACCAAGGCGACGAUCCGUAACUGGUCUGAGAGGAUGAUCAGUCACACUGGAACUGAGACACGGUCCAGACUCCUACGGGAGGCAGCAGUGGGGAAUAUUGGACAAUGGGCGAAAGCCUGAUCCAGCCAUGCCGCGUGUGUGAAGAAGGUCUUCGGAUUUAAAGCAAUGAAGUUGGGAGGAAGGGCAGUUACCUAAUACGUGAUGUUUGA
Molecule: ribosomal RNA, 446 nt
Filed under: uncultured bacterium
Lineage: Bacteria
Description: bacterial SSU rRNA
Rfam family: Bacterial small subunit ribosomal RNA
Source: RNAcentral